Molecule: transfer RNA, 65 nt
Filed under: unidentified
Description: Chlorophila portschinski tRNA-Ala
Source: RNAcentral
AAAUAAGAAGCAAUUAUUGCAUUUAGUUUCGACCUAAAAAUAUGAUUAAAAUUAAUCCUUAUUUU